This 497-nucleotide ribosomal RNA is filed under the name uncultured bacterium. RNAcentral describes it as "partial 16S ribosomal RNA". It matches the Rfam family "Bacterial small subunit ribosomal RNA", at positions 28 to 507 of the family's 1533-position model. The record is from RNAcentral.
GAUGAACGCUGGCGGCGUGCCUAAUACAUGCAAGUCGAGCGAACGGACGAGAAGCUUGCUUCUCUGAUGUUAGCGGCGGACGGGUGAGUAACACGUGGAUAACCUACCUAUAAGACUGGGAUAACUUCGGGAAACCGGAGCUAAUACCGGAUAAUAUUUUGAACCGCAUGGUUCAAAAGUGAAAGACGGUCUUGCUGUCACUUAUAGAUGGAUCCGCGCUGCAUUAGCUAGUUGGUAAGGUAACGGCUUACCAAGGCAACGAUGCAUAGCCGACCUGAGAGAAGGAGCGGCGACACUGGGACUGAGAAACGGUGCAGACGCAGACGGGAGGCAGAAGUGGGGAAUAGUGGACAAGGGGCGAAAUGCUGAUACAGCCAUACAGAGAGGGUAAAGAAGGCAUGCGUGUUGUAAAGACCUUUGGUUGGGAAAGAAAAGCAGCAGGUGAAUAACCCGCUGUUCUGACGGUACCUAAAGAAGAAGCACCGGCUAGCUUCGUG